This 253-nucleotide ribosomal RNA is filed under the name uncultured bacterium. Its description in RNAcentral is "partial 16S ribosomal RNA". It matches the Rfam family "Bacterial small subunit ribosomal RNA", at positions 524 to 776 of the family's 1533-position model. The record is from RNAcentral.
UACGUAGGGGGCAAGCGUUGUCCGGAUUUAUUGGGCGUAAAGAGCGUGUAGGCGGCUUGACAGGGCUGCUGUGAAAACUCGAGGCUCAACCUCGAGAUGUCGGCGGAAACCGUCUGGCUAGAGUCCGGAAGAGGAGAGUGGAAUUCCUGGUGUAGCGGUGAAAUGCGCAGAUAUCAGGAAGAACACCUAUGGCGAAGGCAGCUCUCUGGGACGGUACUGACGCUGAGACGCGAAAGCGUGGGGAGCGAACAGG